UCAAUUAAAUUCGCGAAUGGAGCAUUUUAAUUGUUUGAAAUUAAUUUCGUCCUCACAUUUCUAACAGUGUGCAUAUAAUGACAGUUGUACGUGAAUAUUUAAAGGCGAUCGUUUUAAAAUAAUUCCAAGUGAAUUUCUAGUUGGAUAAACGUUCCUAAUAGAAACUUCCUUUUGAAAUUAAAGUUUUAAUACAAGUGCAUAUACCAUCGUCGUACGGUGUAUUGUCUAAUCUCGAUUAAUGCACGAGAUGAGAACGCUAUAAGUGUUUUUCGUGCAACUCAAGCAAGGGUUCUAACUAGCAUCCUAUUGUUUUUAGGACUAUCAGCAUUUUCGGAAGCUGCCACAUCUGCCUGUUGUUUCGGGAGUGCUCUGGAGAGUCCAGAUUCAAACCUGGAAGACUCAUACUCGAUUUUCGAAACUGCCGUGAUCGAAAGUUGUAAAAAUAUCAGAAUUUGAAUCUCACAAUCUCCGAAGCGAUGUGCUUCUCCAAAAUCCGUUGUCCAGGAGAUCUUGGGACUCAUUUUAUGAAGUUUCAAUUUCGUGCCUUUGGGACUACUUCGAAUUUUUGAUCAUCCGGGCCGAGUCCCGGACAGUCUAGACCGCGUAGGCAUAUAAAAUUUAUUUAUCUUUCUAAUAAAACAAUUAAUUUCUAUUUUUUUAUUUGCAAUUUACUCCCUUGCCAAAUUAAAUAUUCAUAUCCCAAAUAUACACUUUAAAUAUUGAUGAGUUUGUAAAUAAUAUGCUGAAUUUUUUGUAUUUUCUUGUCUUUCUCUUUCAACUGUUUUGUAUUUCACUUUAUUAUUUCUACGAUUAUUAUUAACACACAGUAGAGUAUUUUUUCACUUUAGUAUAUUGUCCUAAAUGUAAUUUUGAAUUAACUCGAUUGUAAUUUAGUGUGUUAGGUACAACCCUUCUAAAUUGCUUUUUACUGUAUUUUCUUUGAAAUUCAAAUUGUUUUCUUGUCUUUUUCUUACAGGUAUUUUGUUUUUUACUUUGUAAACUGUUGAAUUAACUCAAUUGUAAUUAAGUGUAAUAGGUAAAACCUUUCUAAAUUGCUUUUUGACGUAAUUUUUAAAAACAAGUUAAAUAUUUAUUAACACUUUCAUAACUAGUAUUCAUUUGGGCGGAUAUAGGGUGGCUAUAAGGGGAGAUGUGGAGGCCACAGAAGAUUAAGGGGGCAUUUUUGUCCCAAAUAUACUGUCUAAAUGUUAAUUCAACAAUUUCCAAUUGUUAAUAAUCAUAAAUCAUUUAAAAUGUUCAGAAAUUGUUAAUGUACUUUAUUCAUUUAUUGAAAAUGUAGUUUGUGUUUAU
Long non-coding RNA from Agrilus planipennis (emerald ash borer), 1311 nucleotides. RefSeq lists it as uncharacterized. NCBI's taxonomy places the organism in Eukaryota, Metazoa, Arthropoda, Insecta, Coleoptera, Buprestidae. The transcript is spliced from 2 exons. The record is from RefSeq and is a predicted model, not a curated record.